Molecule: unclassified non-coding RNA, 236 nt
Filed under: Hevea brasiliensis (rubber tree)
Lineage: Eukaryota; Viridiplantae; Streptophyta; Magnoliopsida; Malpighiales; Euphorbiaceae
Source: RNAcentral
CUUAGUUGAGUUUAGUUUAGUUUACUUUACACUAGGAUUAUAAACACAGGAAUUAUGUCAUACAAUCUUAUUCAUCUUUUUGAUUUUAUCAAGGUAUUUUUUUUUCUUCUGAUGUUUUGUUGUCAUCUUUAAUUUGUUUCUGUACUUCUAUUUGAGUAUUUAUUAUAUUGUUGGCUUUUGAAUAUCAACUCAUCUUUGGCUGGUGGUGGUAGCUACUGAAGGAGAAGGGUAUCCUA